GUGCCAGCCGCCGCGGUAAUACGAAGGGACCUAGCGUAGUUCGGAAUUACUGGGCUUAAAGAGCACGUAGGUGGUUAAGAAAGUUGGUGGUGAAAUCCCAAGGCUUAACCUUGGAACUGCCACCAAAACUUUUUAACUAGAGUAUGAUUGAGGUAAGCGGAAUUUCUAGUGUAGAGGUGAAAUUCGUAGAUAUUAGAAAGAACACCAAUUGCGAAGGCAGCUUUCUGGGUCAUUACUGACACUGAGGUGCGAAAGCAUGGGUAGCGAAGAGGAUUAGAUACCCUCGUAGUCCAUGCCGUAAACGAUGUGUGCUAGACGUUGGGAAUUUAUUUUUCAGUGUCGCAGCUAAAGCGUUAAGCACACCGCCUGGGGAGUACGACCGCAAGGUUAAAACUCAAAUGAAUUGACGGGGACCCGCACAAGUAGUGGAGCAUGUGGUUUAAUUCGAAGAUACGCGCAGAACCUUACCAACACUUGACAUGUUCGUCGCGACUCUAAGAGAUUAGAGUUUUCGGUUCGGCCGGACGAAACACAGGUGCUGCAUGGCUGUCGUCAGCUCGUGUCGUGAGAUGUUGGGUUAAGUCCCGCAACGAGCGCAACCCUUACUUUUAGUUGCUACCAUUUAGUUGGGCACUCUAAAAGAACUGCCGGUGAUAAGCUGGAGGGAGGUGGGGAUGACGUCAAGUCCUCAUGGCCCUUAUGUGUUGGGCUACACACGUGCUACAAUGGUAUUUACAGUGGGAUGCAAAGAGGCAACUCCUAGCCAACCCUCAAAGAAUACCUCAGUUCGGAUUGUACUCUGCAACUCGAGUACAUGAAGCUGGAAUUACUAGUAAUCGCAGAUCAGCGCGCCGCGGUGAAUACGUUCCCGGGUCUUGCACACACCGCCCGUC
Molecule: ribosomal RNA, 893 nt
Filed under: uncultured bacterium
Lineage: Bacteria
Description: bacterial SSU rRNA
Rfam family: Bacterial small subunit ribosomal RNA
Source: RNAcentral